This 22-nucleotide unclassified non-coding RNA is filed under the name Chlamydomonas reinhardtii. Its description in RNAcentral is "small RNA Cre_0480". The record is from RNAcentral. Lineage: Eukaryota; Viridiplantae; Chlorophyta; Chlorophyceae; Chlamydomonadales; Chlamydomonadaceae.
AGCGGAGCCGUGGAGUCCAUUG